AUUCAGCUGACAAGUCCCGAAUAAGACGAAAUGCGCGUUCUGAGU
This 45-nucleotide non-coding RNA is filed under the name Schistosoma mattheei. The record is from RNAcentral. Lineage: Eukaryota; Metazoa; Platyhelminthes; Trematoda; Strigeidida; Schistosomatidae.